UACGUAGGGGGCUAGCGUUGUCCGGAAUCAUUGGGCGUAAAGCGCGUGUAGGCGGCCCGGUAAGUCCGCUGUGAAAGUCAAAGGCUCAACCUUUGAAAGCCGGUGGAUACUGUGGGGCUAGAGUCCGGAAGAGGCGAGUGGAAUUCCUGGUGUAGCGGUGGAAUGCGCAGAUAUCAGGAGGAACACCAAUAGCGAAGGCAGCUCGCUGGGACGGUACUGACGCUAAGGCGCGAAAGCGUGGGGAGCGAACAGG
Molecule: ribosomal RNA, 253 nt
Filed under: uncultured bacterium
Lineage: Bacteria
Description: partial 16S ribosomal RNA
Rfam family: Bacterial small subunit ribosomal RNA
Source: RNAcentral